RNAcentral lists this non-coding RNA (103 nucleotides) under unclassified sequences. RNAcentral's name for it is "RT-5 RNA". It matches the Rfam family "RT-5 RNA". From Rfam's summary of the family: Clostridium (Firmicutes). Environment (Cow rumen (57)) The record is from Rfam by way of RNAcentral.
AAGCGUCUGCGUCGGAACGAAGCCGUACACAUAAAAAAGAUCUUGCAGGCGGUCGUGUACGAGUGUGGUUUCGUAGCCACAACGUGGCUUUCAAAGCCUUUCU